CCUACGGGGGGCAGCAGUGAGGAAUAUUGGUCAAUGGGCGCGAGCCUGAACCAGCCAAGUCGCGUGAAGGAUGACUGUCUUAUGGAUUGUAAACUUCUUUUAUACGGGAAUAACAAGAGUCACGUGUGACUCCCUGCAUGUACCGUAUGAAUAAGCAUCGGCUAACUCCGUGCCAGCAGCCGCGGUAAUACGGAGGAUGCGAGCGUUAUCCGGAUUUAUUGGGUUUAAAGGGUGCGUAGGCGGUUUGUUAAGUCAGCGGUGAAAUCUAGAGGCUCAACCUCGAAACUGCCGUUGAAACUGGCGAACUUGAGUGUAGAUGAGGUAGGCGGAAUUCGUGGUGUAGCGGUGAAAUGCAUAGAUAUCACGAGGAACUCCGAUUGCGAAGGCAGCUUACUAAGGUACAACUGACGC
This 411-nucleotide ribosomal RNA is filed under the name uncultured Paludibacter sp. RNAcentral describes it as "bacterial SSU rRNA". It matches the Rfam family "Bacterial small subunit ribosomal RNA", at positions 338 to 746 of the family's 1533-position model. Lineage: Bacteria; Pseudomonadati; Bacteroidota; Bacteroidia; Bacteroidales; Paludibacteraceae. The record is from RNAcentral.